GUCGAACGCUGUAGCAAUACAGAGUGGCGCACGGGUGAGUAAUACAUGGGAAUAUGCCUUUUAGUACGGAACAACGUUUGGAAACGAACGCUAAUACCGUAUGGUCCCUUCGGGGUAAAGAUUUAUCGCUAAAAGAGUAGCCCUUGUUGGAUUAGCUAGUUGGUGAGGUAAUGGCUCACCAAGGCGACGAUCCAUAGCUGGUCUGAGAGGACGAUCAGCCACACUGGGACUGAGACACGGCCCAGACUCCUACGGGAGGCAGCAGUUAGGAAUAUUGGACAAUGGACGCAAGUCUGAUCCAGCCAUGCCGCGUGAGUGAUGAAGGCCUUCGGGUUGUAAAGCUCUUUAGUCCACGAAUAUAAUGACUGUAGUGGAAGAAUAAGCCCCGGCUAACUUCGUGCCAGCAGCCGCGGUAAUACGAAGGGGGCGAGCGUUAUUCGGAAUCACUGGGCGUAAAGCGUGCGUAGGCUGUCCUAAAAGUUAGGAGUGAAAGCCCCAGGCUCAACUUGGGAAUUGCUCUUAAUACUGUAGGACUCGAAUUUGGGAGAGGAUAGCGGAAUUGUCAGUGUAGCAGUGAAAUGCGUAGAUAUUGACAGGAACACCGGUGGCGUAAGCGGCUAUCUGGACCAACAUUGACGCUGAGGCACGAAAGCGUGGGGAUCAAACAGGAUUAGAUACCCUGGUAGUCCACGCUGUAAAC
This 700-nucleotide ribosomal RNA is filed under the name uncultured bacterium. Its description in RNAcentral is "bacterial SSU rRNA". It matches the Rfam family "Bacterial small subunit ribosomal RNA", at positions 61 to 807 of the family's 1533-position model. The record is from RNAcentral.